UGGGGAAUUUUGGACAAUGGGCGAAAGCCUGAUCCAGCAAUGCCGCGUGUGUGAAGAAGGCCUUCGGGUUGUAAAGCACUUUUGUCCGGAAAGAAAUCCUUGGCUCUAAUACAGUCGGGGGAUGACGGUACCGGAAGAAUAAGCACCGGCUAACUACGUGCCAGCAGCCGCGGUAAUACGUAGGGUGCAAGCGUUAAUCGGAAUUACUGGGCGUAAAGCGUGCGCAGGCGGUUUGCUAAGACCGAUGUGAAAUCCCGGGCUCAACCUGGGAACUGCAUUGGUGACUGGCAGGCUAGAGUAUGGCAGAGGGGGGUAGAAUUCCACGCGUAGCAGUGAAAUGCGUAGAGAUGUGGAGGAAUACCGAUGGCGAAGGCAGCCCCCUGGGCCAAUACUGACGCUCAUGCACGAAAGCGUGGGGAGCAAACAGGAUUAGAUACCCUGGUAGUCCACGCCCUAAACGAUGUCAACUAGUUGUUGGGGGAUUCAUUUCCUUAGUAACGUAGCUAACGCGUGAAGUUGACCGCCUGGGGGAGUACGGUCGCAAGAUU
Molecule: ribosomal RNA, 548 nt
Filed under: uncultured bacterium
Lineage: Bacteria
Description: partial 16S ribosomal RNA
Rfam family: Bacterial small subunit ribosomal RNA
Source: RNAcentral